RNAcentral lists this long non-coding RNA (1468 nucleotides) under Homo sapiens (human). Its description in RNAcentral is "HSALNT0301276". Lineage: Eukaryota; Metazoa; Chordata; Mammalia; Primates; Hominidae. The record is from RNAcentral.
ACAACCCUCGGGGUUAAAGAGCCUCCUCGAGGAAGAGGCUGGGACACAGCUGAAAGAGAUUGACCCACAACCACUCUAGGGGCCAUCACCUGCCCUUCUUCAGUCCUGGGCGUGAAGGUAGAUUUCUCCCCUAGCCUGUGCGGGAGAGGAGCCCUGGUUUUUCUAACAAGGACUACUGUAGGUUCGCCGAGUUCGAGGGACGCUACGUAUGCAGCGCCUACGCCCGGACACAGGCUUCCGCGUUACCGACACCGCGUGGGGGAGGAGGGCAAGACCCGAGGCUUGCAGAGAUGGGGGGUGCACGGUGGCCACAGUAGGGAAGGUGCGGAGCAUGAUGGUGCUCUGUAGGAGCGCAGACGCUGAAAGGCGCGCUGCUGUGGCUGGGAGAAGAGCGGAGCCAGGAGUUUGUUCCCAAUAUCUUAGUGCUAUGGCAAAAGAAGGGGGAGGAGUAAUUGUGGGGCCCCCCACACACCCGCUGCGGCGAUACACUCACCCUCGCCAAAGUCCUUCCGGAAGUCUAAGUUCGAAGAUGGCGCCGCCUGUCUGGUCGCGGUCUUAUGACGAAAUCUUGUUAGCUGCUCUUCACUGACGCCCCCACCCCAGUGCACAAGAGAUGGGGUCUCGUUAUGUUGACCAGGCUGGUCUUGAACACCUGACCUGAAGUGAUCCUCUUGCCUCAGCCUCCCAUAGUGCUGCGAUCACAGGUGUAAGUCACUGAGUUUGGCCAUUAUUCCAUUUCUGUACACAAAAACCUUUCUCAUUCUGUGCUAUAACUAGUUAGCAUUUAAUUGGGUGGAUGUGGUAUAACUAGUGCCUUGUUGAUAUUGAUGCAUAUUUACAUGGUUUUGCUGUUAUAAACAAUGGUCCCUUGCUAUUAUAAAUCACACUGCUAUAAGUAACCUUGCAUCUAAAUUACUUCAAAUGUGUAACUAUAUGGGUAGGAUAAUUUCUAGAAGUGGAAUUGUGAACCAAAGUUUUAGGUGCAUUUGUAAUUUUGAUUUAUAACCAAUCUUUUCACUGAUCUACUUCUCUGCCUCUAAUUUCUACUAGGUGUUUGUUUGUUUGUUUGUUUGUUUUGAGACAGGGUCUUGCUCUGUCACCCAGGCUGGAGGACAGUGGUGCAAUCACGGCUCACUGCAGCCUCAACCUGCCACCUCAGCCUCCUGAAUAGUUGGGGUGUGUGGCAGGUGUAUACCACCACUUCCAGGUUUUUUUGUUGUUGUUGUUUAAUAGAGAUGAGGUCUUGCUAUAUUGCCCAGGCAGGUCUCACACUACUGAGCGCAAGCGAUCCUCCUGCCUAUGCCUCCCAAAGUGCUGGGAUUACAGGUGUGAGUUGCCAUGCCUGGCCCGGUUAUCUUUCUAAAGCAUAAAGCAACCCUGUUGAUCCUCUGCUUAAUUUUGAUGAUUAAGUAGUAUGUUCAAAAUAUAGAAAUCCAUGUAUUGAUAAUGAUCUUUUAAAAAAAGUAAA